Molecule: ribosomal RNA, 891 nt
Filed under: Triticum aestivum (bread wheat)
Lineage: Eukaryota; Viridiplantae; Streptophyta; Magnoliopsida; Poales; Poaceae
Description: partial small subunit ribosomal RNA
Source: RNAcentral
AUGCCCCCGAAGAAGCGCCUGCACCUGUUGCCCGCUGCUCCCAAGCUGGAAGACCAUGUCGAGGAAGCUGCUCCUGCUGUCUCUACCUCUGGCACGGAAGAUUCGGAGGAGGAAGUGGAGGAACUUUUCGGCAGCGGCAGCAGCGGCGGGGACAACAAAGACGACAGUGGCAGCCAUUCGUCGCAGAUUGACGGUGCCGACAUGGAUGACCCAUCCAAAGUGCACAUCUUUGUCAAGAAUCCCGCCGGCAGGAAAAUCUGCCUCAGGGGGGUCCACUUGUCAGACACCCUUUACACCAUCAAGGCAAAGAUUCAGGAGCGGUACCGCCUUGUCUUUGAUGGGGUGCAGCUGGAAGACAACCGUACACUGGCGGAUUACGGCAUCCAGCAUGAUUUUACGCUUGACCUCCAAGAAAAGAUGCAAAUCUUCGUGACAGAGACGCUAGAAGGCAGGACCAUCACUCUCGAGGUAGACAGCCUAGACACCAUUGACAACGUGAAGGCUAAGAUCGAAGACAUUGAGGGCUUUCCGAAGGUCCAGCAGUGCCUCAUCUUUGCCAACAAACAGCUGGAGGACGGCAAGCUCACCUUGGCUGACCACAACAUUUGUAAAGGGUCCACUCUUCUCCUCAUCCUCCUCCCCUGUAUUCCAACUGUUCUGAUGCUAAUCUUUGUAAAGACACCGGAAGGGAAGGUCCUCACCCUUGAGGUUGGGAGCUCGGACACUGUCGACAGUGUCAAGGUGAAGAUCUAUGAGAAGGAUGGCACUAGCCCUAGACAGCAGCGCCUCAUCUUUGCUGGCAAGCAGCUGGAGGACCACCGCACCCUGGCGGACUACAACAUUCAGAGCGAUUCUACCCUUCAUUUGGUGUUCCGCCUUUGUGGUUGCUGA